Molecule: non-coding RNA, 77 nt
Organism: Phrynosoma platyrhinos (Desert horned lizard)
Lineage: Eukaryota; Metazoa; Chordata; Lepidosauria; Squamata; Phrynosomatidae
Source: the annotation of a GenBank genome assembly
GCCAGCAUGGUUUAAUGGUUUGAGCGUUGGACUAGGAAUCUAGUCUGGAGACCAAGGUUCGAAUCCUCACUCGGCCA